AGGGGUAUAGUACAACGGUAGUAUGGUUGGCUCCAAACCAACAGAUAAGGGUUCAAUUCCUUUUGCCUCUG
This 71-nucleotide transfer RNA is filed under the name Caudoviricetes sp. Its description in RNAcentral is "tRNA-Trp". It matches the Rfam family "tRNA". From Rfam's summary of the family: Transfer RNA (tRNA) molecules are approximately 80 nucleotides in length. Their secondary structure includes four short double-helical elements and three loops (D, anti-codon, and T loops). The record is from RNAcentral. Lineage: Duplodnaviria; Heunggongvirae; Uroviricota; Caudoviricetes.